This 465-nucleotide ribosomal RNA is filed under the name uncultured bacterium. Its description in RNAcentral is "partial 16S ribosomal RNA". It matches the Rfam family "Bacterial small subunit ribosomal RNA", at positions 28 to 507 of the family's 1533-position model. The record is from RNAcentral.
GACGAACGCUGGCGGCGUGCUUAACACAUGCAAGACGUACGGUAAGGCCCUUUCGGGGGUACACGAGUGGCGAACGGGUGAGUAACACGUGAGUAACCUGCCCACAACUUUGGGAUAACGCUAGGAAACUGGUGCUAAUACUGGAUAUGUGCUCCUGCUGCAUGGUGGGGGUUGGAAAGCUCCGGCGGUUGUGGAUGGACUCGCGGCCUAUCAGCUUGUUGGUGGGGUAGUGGCCUACCAAGGCGGCGACGGGUAGCCGGCCUGAGAGGGUGACCGGCCACAUUGGGACUGAGAGACGGCCCAGACUCCUACGGGAGGCAGCAGUGGGGAAUAUUGCACAAUGGGCGCAAGCCGGAUGCAGCAACGCCGCGUGCGGGAUGACGGCCUUCGGGUUGUAAACCGCUUUCAGCAGGGACGAAGCUUUUUGUGACGGUACCUGCAGAAGAAGCACCGGCUAACUACGUG